AUAUUGCUUUAUUUCUUGGUGGUAGUAAAUUAAGGCUUUCUAGAGUCAUACAGCACGCAGUGAUUCGAACAUUAGAAUUUAAAAAAAAAAAUGAGCAUUCAAUUUAGCAGAGGCAGGAAGGAAACAAUGUUUAAAAACAGAUAAACUUCCUAUUGAGGCUUUUUGCUUGGUCUCUCAAAAUCUGCUGAGCUGUUUCCCCAGGAAGAACUUCUGUCAUACACUCAUAUGACAAGGGGGAGCAGACUGGAUGAAGAGAAGACUGGGAAAAAAGAAGAAACUGGGAAAGACAGUAUAUGCUGGGCCAUGGUGUGCAAGUCAGCUUCGUCUCAUGUUUGGAAGACAGUUUAGGUGCUGUGCUCAGGUGGUGGUAAAGAAGGUGUUUGGAACUGGAUGCCUCUUUGGUUCCGGGAGCCAUGUGAGAUCUUUCCUCUCAUUCUGAGAGUACUGAACUGGCUCCCUUGGCCAACCCCAGUAUCAAGGGUCAAGGACAGUCCUUUUUGACUCUCAAAUUCUAAGACUUUAGUCAGGGUCAUAAGUCACAGAGCAGGAAAAUGCUAUACCUUCAACUCUUUUUAAGGUUCUAAACCUUGUGACUCUCACUAGAUACGAUCCCCAGCCAAACAAGUCCUUUCUCCCCAUGACAAACAGCCUUGAUGGCACCUCUAAUUUGUGGAUGGUGUUGCUUGGGGAGGAGGCCAUAUUUCAUACCAUGCCAUCUCACUCUAUCUCCUCCUUCCCAACUUUAAGACAAAGGCACACAGGGAGCCCACAGUGGGGGUGCAGCUGUCAAGUGGUGGGCAGGCUUGACUGCCAUCCCAUCCCACGUACUGUGCUUGGAGGUGCAAAAGUUCUGGGUUUCGAUGGUGGAUCCUCUGAGAAAGAAGUGGGUGAACUGUUUGAACUGCUGGAGGAGGCAGAGAAUAAUUUAAGAGAGGUCAUGGGGUGUAUUAACAACAGGCAAUUCAAUUUCAAGAAAACGAGCGAUGGAAUUUAUCCUGGCAUCCUGACUUCACAUGCAUGAGGCUAACACAUGGAUUUCUUUCCAAAUAGGACCACUUAAAAUGCACACUUGGCAAUGACUUCAAUGUUCUAUUCCCAGCACCUGGUUGGUGGACCAGCGCCUGAGUCUUGUCCAUGUGUUCCCUCUUCCAUUCGUGUGGCAUUUUUAAGGGGACAGCCUUUCAAUAACCUGGAAGUCUGCUCUGUAUCUUUUUGAUAGAGGACCCGCAGAUUGUUGUAGGGGAAGGUACACAAGGUGGCAAUUGGCACAAUUAAACAUUUAGGACUUAACCUUAACAGGCUUCAUGUGAUGAAAUCUAAAUGCACAGUAAAUAGAUAAGACAAGUAGAAAUGUGACCUGAAUCACAAAGAACAGAGGCAUCUGUUCCUGCCAGCUGCAGGGCAGAUGUGAACAUGUAUACCACAUGUGCACUGAGAGGAUUAGAAAAGCCCUGGAGGAUGUGUGCUUUCUCGGGCCUCUCUUGUUAAUUAAAAAUGGUGAGGGUCUUCCCUCCUAUUUGAAAGCACUCAGAUCAACUUGACUGGGGGGAUGUGGGUUUUGCUGGGAUGAGGAAUUCCAUUGCCUCCAUAAGAUGGUGUGGAGUGGGGGUGAUGCCCAGAACAUUUGGGUACAAAAACCAUCUAUGGAGUGAGGCAGAAGAAGAUGGCCAAGAGACUGGAGCACCAAAACAAACAGGAUGGGAAUGAUGCUCAGAGAGGAGCGAAAGACACACAGGAUGCUGGUGUUGGCACUUCUAUUGAAAGCAUCCACAGAAACAAUCCCCUUGAAAGAGGUAGGUGCCUCCUGUGCUCUGUGCUAAGGAGCUUCUGUUUAUUGACAUCUCUGUUCCCUCAGUUCUAAAAUAAGCAUGAAGCUAACCCUUUGUUAGAUCAGAGGAUGGCCUCUGAGUCAGUGCUGGAGGCAGCCACCCAAAGAGGUUGAGUGCUUUGCCCAAGCACACCACAGCUGACAAGUGGUAGAGCUGGAGGGGAAGGAUGCAGGCCUCUAACUCCAUCAUGCUGCUUGCCACAAGUGAUUCUUUAAAAAGAUUUAGAAGACAUACCAGGUGUUGUGACAUUUAUUUAACAAGAAUUUGGUCAGGUGUGGGAUGGAAGAGUGUGGUUUAGGCCAAUCAAGCAGUUUAAAGAGAAGGAGAUCUGGAGAGAAUUAUUAUUCUGAUGAGGUGCUGUUGCCCUUGGAGAGGGAGGGGUUGGUGGGUGGUUGGGAUCAGGGUAUAGGUCCCUGGGGAUGUGGCCAGGAGGAAAGAGACAGAGAGAAAGAAAGGCGGUUUUAAAGACACUGCAGUCAGCUUUCCCAGGUAGAUCUUUUUGAGAAGAGAAACUGCCCAUGAAUGACUUAAGCAAAGGAAAAAAAAAAGCUCCUAGUAGAAAUUUGUCCCCCCACCCUCCUUUCCUGGACCUCUGUUGCCUGUGAGAAAUUAGGUAUAAGAAAAGCCAGAUUCCUAAGAACCUUCCUGGAAGAAAGAGCUGUUAUGAGUGGGUGUCGGUGCUUACACAUAUGCUGCUUAAAAAAAAAAAAAAAAAAAA
RNAcentral lists this long non-coding RNA (2547 nucleotides) under Sus scrofa (pig). RNAcentral's name for it is "lncRNA (ENSSSCG00015016202.1)". Lineage: Eukaryota; Metazoa; Chordata; Mammalia; Artiodactyla; Suidae. The record is from RNAcentral.